RNAcentral lists this long non-coding RNA (6266 nucleotides) under Marmota monax (woodchuck). The record is from RNAcentral. Lineage: Eukaryota; Metazoa; Chordata; Mammalia; Rodentia; Sciuridae.
GGGGAGCCGAGCGGUGCCGAAGCGCGGGCGGAAAAGGCCGAGGGGCGCACGAGGGGCGCGGCUCCCGGUGAGGAGGAGGCAGUGUCCGGCGACGCCCCGCCCCCGGCACUCAGGUGCGCGGCGCCGGGCCAGCGGCAGCCUCGUGCCUUGCGCCAACCCUUCCCCCGGCCAGCCGCUCCCUGCCUGCGGCGGGUCGCACCGCACAUUCCUGGGCCGCCAGCCGCGGGGUGUCCGGCCUCCUGGCGCUUGCGACUCUGGGGCGGGAACGGCACUCCAACGCCCCUCUCCCGGCUCCCCUCUCCUCCUCGCUAGUCUCCCGCCACUCUUCCUUUUAAGUACAUAAUUUUAUUUGAACGAAAGUUUCGAAUAUUGCCAAGGGGGAAAGUGCGAUCGACUUGUGAAGAUUCAGGAGCUAACUGGCCAGGAUGAGAAAAUACCCACUCGUUUCUCUUCUUGGUCGCUGACCCCUUUUGAAAUGUCUUAGGAUGGUGGACCUGAGGAAACCUAAGGAAACGCAUCUCCUGGUGAAAAGGAAUCGCCUAAAAAGAAAGGCUAAAACUGCCCCGUGAAUUAUUAAGAGAGUUUACUAUUACCUUAGGCUUGCAGAAGUAUCAAACCUCCUUUGGACACUUUAUUUUAUUGGUGAUGCUGACCCUAUUUGGAAUGUUCCUCUUAACCAUUCUAUAGGCCUUCUCUUUCCAGAAUAGUAAAUUCAGCAGCAAAACUCCCUGUCAAAGUACGAAAGCUGCAUUGAUUUUGAUUUGAAAUGAGCUGGAGCGGUGAUAGUCUCUAUUUUUCCAUCCUUACUUAUCCUUACAUUUACAAGAUUUACAAGUUAUUGAAGAUUUCUGGAUCAGGGCUGGGUGGGCUACCAUGGGCAGACACCAGAGUAGACUGACUUCACUAUAUCCAAAUAAUAUCAAAUGUCAGGGCACAUCAUUGUUGUAAGCCCCAAAUGCUAGGUCUCUGUUUUGUAAAAAGUAGGAAGGCCUGAGCCACACUCUUCCCUAACAAAAACUGUUUGUCCUACUUAAUAUUCCUACUUAAUAUUUGGACCUGGUAGUAUAUGGAAGGUGGGUAAUCAAUGUGUGCCCGCUGUGGGAAUGAGAAAAUGAUCCACAUGCCCUGUAUUUGUCAAAGACAAAGUCACACAGUUCUGGGCUUUGGUCUGACUGUUGGGGUUCUGGAAAAUUCAGUGGAAAAUUAAAGGCCUUCCUUGGGAAUAGGUUUAAAUGGCUGAGUGGCCAUUUGCCUACCUGGUAUCUACCUAGGUGCACCACCUGAAAUUUCUCAAUUACAGAUUCACUACUUUGUUUUAUGAGUUUUAAGAUGGGGAAAAGGGGAUUUGAGUAUUAAAUGUAUGCAGAUUAAUGGGCUUUCAUAACUUCUCUGAGGAUUUUCUCUUUGAGGGGCUGUAGGAUAUAGUAGAAAGAUGAUAUAGUCAGUAUGGGUACAAACAUGUUAAAUACCUGCAAGAUCUUGAGCAUAUGUUUAAAUUCUCUGAAACUCAGCAGCUUUCUUGACUAUAAAAUCAGCAAUAAUGACUUAUUUUAAAGUGAUACUGCAAGUAGAAUGUGCUUUGUUCAGGAAGGCACUCAACAUAGUACCUCCUAUUAAUAAGAUAGCAGUUAGAAUCUUGGGUUUCUAAGAAGUGUCUGGAGAUGGUUAAAAAAAAUGAGGGACUGAAUAUACAAUAUUAACCUGAAAACAAUAGACUUUGAAUGAACUAGGAUAACACUUAUGUCACAUAAAUUUGUCACUGCAUCACUUCUACCAGUUCUCUUAGUAUUAAAUAGACUCUUGAGUCAGGAAUGCUGGCUACUAUAGACUUGUGUGGCUUUGAGCAAGUUGGUUAACUUGUGUGCCUCUGUUUACUUACAUAUAAAAUGGGGAUAAUAAUACUUCCUACAUUGUCAGAGUGUUGUGAAAGUGCCUAAGGUCCUUAGAUAAAAGGUAGUAUGUGAGUACCAGAGUAGUUAUUAUUGGUCUAUAAAGUGCCCUAGGAACUACAGAUUAAAGAGAUUAUUGAGGUACAAAGCACUGUUUUAUUAUUGUUAUCAUUUAUUAUACCUUUUGUCUUUGCCAUUCUCAGUAUUCCCAAAGAUAUUUCACAGCCAGGCUGCUCCCAACAUUGCACCAAGAUAUUUUUAGCUGAGUUGGUCCUACAUUGUUUACACAUCAUCAAUCUUUAUGUAUAGAGUUCUGAUGUAAUAAUCCUCAAAGACUCAGUGCUUGAUUUCUCAACUUCGGCAUUAUUGACAUUCAGGGCUGGGUAAAUUUUUGUUCUGGGGUUUUCCCUGUUCAUUGUAGGAUAUUAAGCAGCAUCAUUGAUUUCUACCUACUAGAUACCAGUAUCCUCCUCCCUCCUAUCCCCAUUGUGCCAUUGCCAAAUGUUCAGGAUUGGUGAUGGGGUCCUGGGUGACAAUGAGAACCAUUGAAUUGGCCUGAAAUAACUAAUUUUAGUGACCCAUUGCCCUUAAUAGUAAAGAAAAAUAUGAUGAUGCUAAUAAAACAAUUUAUUUUUAAAUGUCAUAGUGAAGCUUAUUAUAUAUGUUAAGUCUUACUUAAUGUUUUCCAGACAGUGGAUUAGCUAUGCUAUGAUGUGAAAUAACUUGUUUCUAUAUGUUGAAAUAACUAAUAAUAUAUUGGGAAAUAGCCACUUUGACUUCAAUGCAAAUAUUUCUGGAACAUAUCCUUAAAUCAAAAUAACACAUUUGCAUACUAUAAAAAGUUAAAUAAUUUAGUUCCAGAGGAUUAUAACAAAAGACAGCAAUCCCUUCUUACCGUCCCAAUUACAAAAAACCCUUAUGCAGAAAUUUCAACUCUUCUUACUGUUUCUGCUCUUUGUGAGGGUUUUUUAAAAUUAAAUUAUUUAUGUAUUCUAAUUUGUUAUACAUGAUAGCAGAAUGCAAUUCAUUUCAUAUUACACAGAGCACAAUUUUUCAAGUCACUGAUUGUACACAAAGUAUUUUCACAUCAUUUGUGCCUUCAUACAUGUACUUAGAGUAAUGAUGUCUAACUCAUUCCACAUCAUUCCUACCCCCUUAACCCCUCUCUUCCCCUUCCUCCCCUUUGCCCUAUCUGAAGUUCCUCCAUUCUUCCCAUGCCCCCCCAUUGCCAUUAUGAGUCAGCAUCCUCAUAUCAAAGAAAAAAUUUGGCCUUUGAUUUUUUGGGAUUGGCUUACUUUACUUAGCAUUAUAUUCUCCAACUCCAUCCAUUUACCUGCAAAUGCCAUGAUUUUAUUCUCUUUUAAUGCUGAGUAAUGUUCCAUUGUGUAUAUAUAUCAAAGUUUCCCUAUGCAUUUAUCAUCUAUUGAAAGGCAUCUGGGUUGAUUCCACAAUUUAGCUAUUGUGAAUUGUGCUGCUUGUAAGAGUUUUUUAAUGUACUUAUCUACUAGUGUACUUAAUUUUUACAUUUUUAGAUGUCCUACUAAAGGAGAGGAUUUAGCUGUCUUAAGCUAUACAUAUACUUUUCUUACUCCUAUAUUCCCACUGUAUUUAUAUCAUAAUUCUUAUUGAAUACAUAUUCAAUGUGUAUAGUAUGGUUACAAUACAAAUACAGCAGAGCUAUGUGGUAUACUAUGAAUGCAUUUCUGUCAUGUCUUUUACAAUUGUUUUUCCUUAAAGAACCACCAUUCCUGGGGCUGGGGAUGUGGCUCAAGCAGUAGCAUGCUCUCCUGGCAUGCCCAGGUUCCAUCCUCAGCACCACAUACAAACAAAGAUGUUGUGUCCACCGAAAACUAAAAAAAAAUAUUAAAAAAUUCUCUCUCUCUUUUUUUUUAAAAAAAGAACCACCAUUCCUUUUUCUGCAGUUACAACUCCCCAUUGUUUGUUUUAAUCACUGUCAUGUUUUUCUAUAUACUAUACACAAAUUUACACCCACAUUGGUAAUCUAUCAGUUCUGUUUCUCUUUUUUUUUAGGGACAUCUCUCCUGGAGCCCUCUAUCCCCUGGAUUGAUUUUAAGCCCUCUUUCUCUGUCGUCAUCCAGGAAUUAUGUUUUUAUUAUAACACUUGGAAUCAUUUUCUGUGCAGACCACUUAUUUCCCAAAUUCCAUAUUUUCCUUCUUGUUGUUUCUCACUUAUUUUAGUGAAGUCCAUCCUUAGUAUAUUCUGGAGAUGGUAUAAAUUACACAUUCAUGGAGACUGUGCAUGAUGGAAAUUAGUUUAAAUUUGUCUUCCCAGUUGAUUAAUAGUUUGUUGGGAACAGAACUCCAGGUUGGAAAUCAUUUUCCUCCAUAAUUCUGAAGUCAUCAGUAUAUUGUCUGCUAUUUUCCAGAGUUGCUGUUUCAAAGACUGAUUCCUUUCUGUUUUCUCCCUGAAAGCUUUUGAGUCUUUCUUAAUGAGAGUUCCUGAAAUAUCUUGAAGAUAUGCUCCGAUUUGAUCUUUUUUCAUUGUUGUUAGCUUUACAGUGGACCCUUUUAAUCUGCUAUCUGCCCUCCAGUUGGGAAAUUCCCUUAUCCUAUUUCUUUGAUAAUUCUUUCCUUUUAUUUUCUCCAUUCUCUCUUUCUAAAACUCCUGUUAAGUAGGUAUUAGACUGUUAGGAUUUCUCUAAUACAUUUUUAAUCUUUUCUGUCCUAUUUUCAGUCUUUUGGGGGAUUUUAUUCUACUUUUAUUGACAUUUUCUCCAUUUUAUAUGCCAGCAUAUUAAGUUUCUAUUUCUGUCACUACUUUUUUCUAAGAUCUGUUUCUUGUUCUUUAAAUGUUCCUUUUCCAUAGCAUGCUGUUUUUUAGGUCACAUUUAUAGUAUCUUUUCCCUCCCUGAGGAAAUGUCUUUAAUUUCUACUGAUCCUGCACUGUUCCUUGCCUAUAUUUCCCUUCUUUCCUUCUUGUUUAAUCUUAAUCUUUCAAGUGAGAGCUUUGUUCAUCAAUCAUCUGUUCAUUCAUCUUUAAGAUUGAUUGAAGCACUAGAAAGUUGAUUGGAAGCCCUUCUGUGAAAGGGUGGAACCUGAUGACUUAUGGGUGUAGGUUUAAAAAGACCCAGGCAUUUUGUGGAGGCAUGUGUCAUGUCCUACAUAUGUCAGCAUUUAUGCAGCUUCUCUUUUGGUUGCAUCAGUUUCCAUAAGAAAAAUGUGUCCCUGCCUGUGUUGUCUGUUGCCAACUGUCUCAGGUGCCAAGCAAGGAAGGAGGACAGGGGGAGUCUCAUUACUCAAUCUGCAGGUUUCUAAUGAAUGCAUAAGCUCAGUAUGCCUGGCAUUCUCAAGUGCAGUGCAUCUGUGAUUCAACAUCUGCAGAAGGUGAGUUUUCAGUCCUCCAGCAGGAUCAGGAGAAAGAGCUUUCCUUGCUAAUGAGCCCUGCAGAGGGCACAUGAAAAUCCAGCCAUUCUUGUGUCAAUUUUGAACUAAUCUUUCUGUUUUCUCUCCAUCCUUUGCUCCUUUUCAGAAUUAUAUGCUGCUGCUUACAAUUUCCAAAACUUUCUUCAGGGGUCUGCAGGACAAAAAGGAUGACUCCUUAUUGACUCUGUCUCCUGUACAUCAUUAGAACUCAUCUUUACCUGCUGUUAUCCAUCUUGCAUCUUCCAGUGUUACCUUCUUAUAUCCCAUCCUCUUCAUUGUUACUGGUUUAUCAUUUUAUCUUUUGUUUUAGUGAAGUGACUUAAGUGAAAAAAGGAUAAACGUGUGUUUAAUCUGGUGUCUAUAGUAGGAAAUCCAAUUCAUCUACUUUGCAGAUUUCCAGAUACUGAGAAAUGUGCUCUGUAGGUUCAGAUCAGUAGAGACCUUUACAUCUUAUUUCUUUACUCAUUGAAUUACACAUCUUAAGCCACUACUGAUUAUCACUGUAAGAAAGAACUUUACAAAAUGUUUUAUUUUCUGUAGGCUGUUUUUAAUAUGUGGUCCCAUUACAUUAUACGAUGCUUCUAUUAUUUUUUUAAAAGGGGGGAAAUUUUCUGACAUCUGUGUUACUUACUGAUGUAUUUCUCUUUUCCAGCUGUUUCAUUUUCUUUAACCCUAGUAAACUAUACAUUAUAUAGCUAGAGACUUAUCUUCUUGUAAUUGCUUACAGGUAAUCUAAUACCAGAAUUUUGGCUUUACCAGGAAAGAUCUGGGUUCUAUGGUACCUGAAGCUUAUACAAUUUUUGAACCUUCUUUAAGAAAGAAUAGGCAUAAAAAUAAAUAGUUUGAAUGAAAAUUAUUUUUAAUUAUGUUUAAACAAAUUGACAAAUUCGAUGAAUAUUUUAAAAACCUGACCUAUUCACAAUAUUGUUGUAUGUGUACUUUAUUAUUGAUUUUGUUAUUAUAUAUUGGUACAUAAAGUAUGUGUAAUUUCAC